Molecule: ribosomal RNA, 426 nt
Filed under: uncultured Chlamydiae bacterium
Lineage: Bacteria; Pseudomonadati; Chlamydiota; Chlamydiia
Description: bacterial SSU rRNA
Rfam family: Bacterial small subunit ribosomal RNA
Source: RNAcentral
AACGCGAAGAACCUUACCCAGGCUCGAAAUGUAAUGGACAAUACCAGAGAUGGUAUGUUCCGCAAGGACUGUUAUAUAGGUGCUGCAUGGCUGUCGUCAGCUCGUGCCGUGAGGUGUUGGGUUAAGUCCCGCAACGAGCGCAACCCUUAUCAUUAGUUGCCAACACGCAAGGUGGGGACUCUAAUGAGACUGCCUGGGUUAACCAGGAGGAAGGUGAGGAUGAUGUCAAGUCCGCAUGGCCUUUAUGUCUGGGGCUACACACGUGCUACAAUGGUCGGUACAGAAGGCAGCAAGACCGCAAGGUGGAGCAAAUCCGAAAAGCCGAUCACAGUUCAGAUUGUAGUCUGCAACUCGACUACAUGAAGUUGGAAUUGCUAGUAAUGACGUGUCAGCAACAACGUCGUGAAUACGUUCCCGGGCCUUGUA